RNAcentral lists this ribosomal RNA (781 nucleotides) under uncultured bacterium. RNAcentral's name for it is "bacterial SSU rRNA". It matches the Rfam family "Bacterial small subunit ribosomal RNA", at positions 8 to 796 of the family's 1533-position model. The record is from RNAcentral.
AGAGUUUGAUCCUGGCUCAGGAUGAACGCUAGCGGCAGGCCUAAUACAUGCAAGUCGAACGGGUGGUAGCAAUACCACUAGUGGCGCACGGGUGCGUAACGCGUAACCAACCUGCCCAGAACUGGGGGAUAGCCCGCCGAAAGGGGAUUAAUACCGCAUAUACCAGCAACCCGGCAUCGGGUAAUUGGGAAAGAUUUAUUGGUUCUGGAUGGGGUUGCGUAGCAUUAGCUAGAUGGCGGGGUAACGGCCCACCAUGGCGACGAUGCUUAGGGGACCUGAGAGGGUGAUCCCCCACACUGGCACUGAGAUACGGGCCAGACUCCUACGGGAGGCAGCAGUAGGGAAUAUUGGGCAAUGGGCGAGAGCCUGACCCAGCCAUGCCGCGUGCCGGAUGAAGGCCUUCUGGGUUGUAAACGGCUUUUCUCAGGGAAGAAAAAGGGUAUGCGUACCACACUGACGGUACCUGAGGAAUAAGCACCGGCUAACUCCGUGCCAGCAGCCGCGGUAAUACGGAGGGUGCAAGCGUUGUCCGGAUUUAUUGGGUUUAAAGGGUGCGUAGGUGGCCUGUUAAGUCCGGGGUGAAAGCCCACAGCUCAACUGUGGAACUGCCCUGGAUACUGGCGGGCUUGAGUCCAGACGAGGUUGGCGGAAUGGAUGCUGUAGCGGUGAAAUGCAUAGAUAGCAUCCAGAACCCCGAUUGCGUAGGCAGCUGACUAGGCUGGUACUGACACUGAGGCACGAAAGCGUGGGGAGCGAACAGGAUUAGAUACCCUAGUAGUCC